This 329-nucleotide ribosomal RNA is filed under the name uncultured eukaryote. Its description in RNAcentral is "partial 18S ribosomal RNA". It matches the Rfam family "Eukaryotic small subunit ribosomal RNA", at positions 1470 to 1796 of the family's 1831-position model. The record is from RNAcentral.
CCCUUAGAUGUUCUGGGCCGCACGCGCGCUACAAUGAUGCAUUCAACGAGUCUAAAACCUGCUCUGAUAGGGGUGGGUAAUCUUUUGAAUGUGCAUCGUGAUUGGGAUAGAUGAUUGCAAUUUUUCAUCUUCAACGAGGAAUGCCUAGUAAACGCAAGUCAUCAGCUUGCAUUGAUUACGUCCCUGCCCUUUGUACACACCGCCCGUCGCUCCUACCGAUUGAAUGAUCCGAUGAAUAUCAUGGAUUGAGGAUGCAAGCAGGUUCGCCUGUCUUCAUCUUCGAGAAGUGAAGUAAAUCUUAUCAUUUAGAGGAAGGAGAAGUCGUAACA